AAGAAGUGUCUAGCACAGAGUUUGAAGAAUCCUUUUCUUGCGAACUGGUUAAGUUUCAACUAUCUCUACAAAGUCCACCAUUCAGAAUGAGAGUAGAGCGGAUUCCAGACGUCUGGUAUAACUAUUCAGUAAUGGCUUGCAUCAACGAUGAUCCGCCGCUACUAAUGGCAGAUGUCGACGAGGAAUCCGAAGAGAAUGAUGUGGAACCUGAGGACGAAGUUUACUAUUACGAAGAGUUUCCGAAUAUCGAUCUAAUGGCGGAUAUGCCCGACUAUGAAUCCCCGAUUAGUGAUUCCGAUGAUAUCGACUUAUACUUCUGGCGCUUCGAAUAUCCAGCUCCAGCUCCAUGGGAUGCUUGAACCACACAUUCGGUUUGAAAUCGGUUUUGUAUCUGCUGAAUAAAAUAAUCUAGCUAGCUGGCAUUUGGG
Molecule: non-coding RNA, 428 nt
Organism: Drosophila melanogaster (fruit fly)
Lineage: Eukaryota; Metazoa; Arthropoda; Insecta; Diptera; Drosophilidae
Source: Ensembl